RNAcentral lists this ribosomal RNA (478 nucleotides) under uncultured bacterium. RNAcentral describes it as "partial 16S ribosomal RNA". It matches the Rfam family "Bacterial small subunit ribosomal RNA", at positions 29 to 523 of the family's 1533-position model. The record is from RNAcentral.
AGUGAACGCUGGCGGCGUGCCUAACACAUGCAAGUCGAACGAUGAUGAUGGAGCUUGCUCUAUCUGAUUAGUGGCGCACGGGUGAGUAAUGCAUAGAUAAUGUGCCCCUUAGUUUGGGAUAGCCACUGGAUACGGUGAUUAAUACCAGAUACUCCUUCUGAUUAUAAGACGAGGCGGGAAAGUUUUUUCGCUAAGGGAUCAGUCUAUGUCCUAUCAGCUAGUUGGUGGGGUAAGAGCUCACCAAGGCAAUGACGGGUAUCUGGUUUGAGAGGGUGAUCAGACACACUGGAACUGAGACACGGUCCAGACUCCUACGGGAGGCAGCAGUGAGGAAUAUUGCACAAUGGAGGAAACUCUGAUGCGGCAACGCCGCGUGGAGGAUGACGCAUUUCGGUGUGUAAACUCCUUUUAUUAGGGAAGAUUAUGACGGUACCUAAUGAAUAAGCACCGGCUAACUCCGUGCCAGCCGCCGCUGUAA